AUGAACGCUGGCGGCGUGCCUAAUACAUGCAAGUCGAGCGAACGGACGAGAAGCUUGCUUCUCUGAUGUUAGCGGCGGACGGGUGAGUAACACGUGGAUAACCUACCUAUAAGACUGGGAUAACUUCGGGAAACCGGAGCUAAUACCGGAUGAUAUUUUGAACCGCAUGGUUCAAAAGUGAAAGACGGUCUUGCUGUCACUUAUAGAUGGAUCCGCGCUGCAUUAGCUAGUUGGUAAGGUAACGGCUUACCAAGGCAACGAUGCAUAGCCGACCUGAGAGGGGGAUCGGCCACACGGAAACUGGAACCGGGCCCAGACCCCUACGGGAGGCCGGAGGAGGGAAUUUUCCGAAAGGGGCGAAAGCCUGACGGGGCAACGCCGGGGGGGGGAUAAAGGUUUUGGGUUUGGAAAACUCUGUUAUUAGGAAAAAACAUAUGUGUAAGUAACUGUGCACAUUUUGACGGUACCAAAAAAGAAAGCCACGGCUAACUACGU
RNAcentral lists this ribosomal RNA (495 nucleotides) under uncultured bacterium. Its description in RNAcentral is "partial 16S ribosomal RNA". It matches the Rfam family "Bacterial small subunit ribosomal RNA", at positions 29 to 506 of the family's 1533-position model. The record is from RNAcentral.